AAUCAACGCUGGCGGCGUGCCUAACACAUGCAAGUCGCGCGCGAACGGGGGGCAACCCCCAAGUAGAGCGGCGAACGGGUGAGUAACACGUGGGUAAUCUACCUUCGAGUGGGGAACAACACCGGGAAACUGGUGCUAAUUCCGCAUGACAUCGUCGGGCCUUCGGUCCUCGACGAUCAAAGACUGGGGAGUCGUAAGACCUAGUGCUUGAAGAUGAGCCCGCGCCCGAUUAGCUAGUUGGCGGGGUAAGUGGCCCACCAAGGCUUCGAUCGGUAGCCGGCCUGAGAGGGCGGACGGCCACACUGGAACUGAGACACGGUCCAGACUCCUACGGGAGGCAGCAGU
Molecule: ribosomal RNA, 345 nt
Filed under: uncultured bacterium
Lineage: Bacteria
Description: bacterial SSU rRNA
Rfam family: Bacterial small subunit ribosomal RNA
Source: RNAcentral